This 258-nucleotide ribosomal RNA is filed under the name uncultured bacterium. Its description in RNAcentral is "partial 16S ribosomal RNA". It matches the Rfam family "Bacterial small subunit ribosomal RNA", at positions 96 to 354 of the family's 1533-position model. The record is from RNAcentral.
UGGCGGACGGGUGAGUAACGCGUGGGCAACCUGCCCCAUACAGGGGGAUAACAGUUAGAAAUGACUGCUAACACCGCAUAAGCGCACAGGGCCGCAUGGCUCGGUGUGAAAAACUCCGGUGGUAUGGGAUGGGCCCGCGUCUGAUUAGCCAGUUGGCGGGGUAACGGCCCACCAAAGCGACGAUCAGUAGCCGACCUGAGAGGGUGACCGGCCACAUUGGGACUGAGACACGGCCCAAACUCCUACGGAAGGCAGCAG